UUCUCGGAGUAGCGGUAAAAUGCAUAGAUCUCGAGAGGAACACCGAUGGCGAAGGCAGCUUCUUGGUCCAUAUCUGACGCUGAGACACGAAAGCGUGGGGAGCAAACAGGAUUAGAUACCCUGGUGGUCCACGCCGUAAACGAUGAUCACUAGACGUUAGUUCUGUUUUACAGGAUUAGUGUCGCAGCUAACGCGUUAAGUGAUCCGCCUGGGGACUACGGUCGCAAGACUAAAACUUAAAGGAAUUGACGGGGGCCCGCACAAGCGGUGGAACAUGUGGUUUAAUUCGACAAUACGCGAGGAACCUUACCUAGGCUUGGCAUGUAUUCGACAACUGCAGAGAUGUGGCUUUCCAAGCUUCGGUUUGGACGGAUACACAGGUGCUGCAUGGCU
This 393-nucleotide ribosomal RNA is filed under the name uncultured bacterium. RNAcentral describes it as "bacterial SSU rRNA". It matches the Rfam family "Bacterial small subunit ribosomal RNA", at positions 667 to 1050 of the family's 1533-position model. The record is from RNAcentral.